This 1091-nucleotide ribosomal RNA is filed under the name human oral metagenome. RNAcentral describes it as "bacterial LSU rRNA". It matches the Rfam family "Bacterial large subunit ribosomal RNA", at positions 1640 to 2718 of the family's 2925-position model. The record is from RNAcentral.
GCCCGUACCGUAAACCGACACAGGUGGGUGGGAUGAGUAUUCUAAGGCGCGUGGAAGAACUCUCUUCAAGGAACUCUGCAAAAUAGCACCGUAUCUUCGGUAUAAGGUGUGCCUAACUUUGUGAAGGAUUUACUCCGUAAGCAUUGAAGGUUACAACAAAGAGUCCCUCCCGACUGUUUACCAAAAACACAGCACUCUGCUAACUCGUAAGAGGAUGUAUAGGGUGUGACGCCUGCCCGGUGCUCGAAGGUUAAUUGAUGACGUUAGCUCUGCGAAGCGUUUGAUCGAAGCCCGAGUAAACGGCGGCCGUAACUAUAACGGUCCUAAGGUAGCGAAAUUCCUUGUCGAUUAAAUAUCGACCUGCAUGAAUGGCGUAACGAGAUGGGAGCUGUCUCGAAGAGGGAUCCAGUGAAAUUGUAGUGGAGGUGAAAAUUCCUCCUACCCGCGGCAAGACGGAAAGACCCCGUGGACCUUUACUACAGCUUGACACUGCUAUUGGGAUAAAAAUGUGCAGGAUAGGUGGGAGGCUUUGAUCCAUAGACGCCAGUUUAUGGUGAGCCAUUGUUGAGAUACCACUCUUUUUUAUUCUGAUAGCUAACUAGCUUGAGUUAUCCUCAAGUAGGACAAUGUCUGGUGGGUAGUUUGACUGGGGCGGUCGCCUCCCAAAAUGUAACGGAGGCUUACAAAGGUUGGCUCAGAACGGUUGGAAAUCGUUCGUAGAGUAUAAAGGCAUAAGCCAGCUUAACUGCGAGACAUACACGUCAAGCAGAGACGAAAGUCGGUCUUAGUGAUCCGGUGGUUCUGUGUGGAAGGGCCAUCGCUCAAAGGAUAAAAGGUACCCCGGGGAUAACAGGCUGAUCUCCCCCAAGAGCUCACAUCGACGGGGAGGUUUGGCACCUCGAUGUCGGCUCAUCGCAUCCUGGGGCUGAAGUCGGUCCCAAGGGUUGGGCUGUUCGCCCAUUAAAGCGGUACGCGAGCUGGGUUCAGAACGUCGUGAGACAGUUCGGUCCCUAUCUGCCGUGGGCGUAAGAAGAUUGAGGAGAGUUGACCCUAGUACGAGAGGACCGGGUUGAACCGACCACUGGUGUACC